This 76-nucleotide transfer RNA is filed under the name Escherichia coli. RNAcentral's name for it is "tRNA-Lys". It matches the Rfam family "tRNA". From Rfam's summary of the family: Transfer RNA (tRNA) molecules are approximately 80 nucleotides in length. The record is from RNAcentral. RNAcentral also lists the same sequence under 6 other names. Lineage: Bacteria; Pseudomonadati; Pseudomonadota; Gammaproteobacteria; Enterobacterales; Enterobacteriaceae.
GGGUCGUUAGCUUAGUUGGUAGAGCAGUUGACUUUUAAUCAAUUGGUCGCAGGUUCGAAUCCUGCACGACCCACCA